GCCUGGGUGGCUCAGUCGGUUGAGUGUCUGACUUCUGCUCAGGUCAUGAUCUCUCAUUUUGUGGGUUCAAGCCCCAGUUCGGACU
RNAcentral lists this transfer RNA (85 nucleotides) under Felis catus (domestic cat). It matches the Rfam family "tRNA". From Rfam's summary of the family: Transfer RNA (tRNA) molecules are approximately 80 nucleotides in length. Their secondary structure includes four short double-helical elements and three loops (D, anti-codon, and T loops). The record is from Rfam by way of RNAcentral. Lineage: Eukaryota; Metazoa; Chordata; Mammalia; Carnivora; Felidae.